UGAGGAACAUGACUUUCGGCGGGGGAUAGCCGGCCCAACGGCCGGGUAAUACCGCGUACGACCACAUGGGGACAUCCCUGAGUGGUGAAAGCAGCAAUGCGCCGAUGGAGUGCCUCGCGGCCUAUCAGCUAGUUGGUGAGGUAACGGCUCACCAAGGCGACGACGGGUAGCUGGUCUGAGAGGAUGGCCAGCCACAUUGGGACUGAGACACGGCCCAGACCUCUACGGGAGG
Molecule: ribosomal RNA, 232 nt
Filed under: uncultured bacterium
Lineage: Bacteria
Description: partial 16S ribosomal RNA
Rfam family: Bacterial small subunit ribosomal RNA
Source: RNAcentral